RNAcentral lists this transfer RNA (26 nucleotides) under Diadema antillarum. RNAcentral describes it as "partial tRNA-Lys". Lineage: Eukaryota; Metazoa; Echinodermata; Echinoidea; Diadematoida; Diadematidae. The record is from RNAcentral.
CAGUAGNUAAACUCUACUAUUAAGGG